UUACCCGCUGAACUUAAGCAUAUCAAUA
This 28-nucleotide ribosomal RNA is filed under the name Antrodia sp. MAK08/9345. RNAcentral's name for it is "partial 28S ribosomal RNA". The record is from RNAcentral. Lineage: Eukaryota; Fungi; Basidiomycota; Agaricomycetes; Polyporales; Fomitopsidaceae.